Molecule: ribosomal RNA, 121 nt
Filed under: uncultured bacterium
Lineage: Bacteria
Description: partial 16S ribosomal RNA
Rfam family: Bacterial small subunit ribosomal RNA
Source: RNAcentral
GUACACACCGCCCGUCACACCAUGAGAGUUGGGGAUACCCGAAGCCUGUGAGCUAACAAUUUUAUUGAGGCAGCAGUCGAAGGUAGAAUCAAUGAUUGGGGUGAAGUCGUAACAAGGUACC